GACAGAGGUGCCAAGCGUUAGGCGGAAUCACUGGGCUUAAAGCGUGUGUAGGCGGGCGAGCAAGUCCCUUGUGAAAUCCCACGGCUCAACCGUGGAACUGCUGGGUAUACUGGUUGUCUUGAGCCAGCUAGGGGCGAGCGGAACAGACGGUGGAGCGGUGAAAUGCGUAGAUAUCGUCUGGAACGCCGAAGGUGAAAACAGCUCGCUGGGGCUGCGCUGACGCUGAGACACGAAAGCCAGGGGAGCGAACGGG
Molecule: ribosomal RNA, 253 nt
Filed under: uncultured bacterium
Lineage: Bacteria
Description: partial 16S ribosomal RNA
Rfam family: Bacterial small subunit ribosomal RNA
Source: RNAcentral